RNAcentral lists this long non-coding RNA (386 nucleotides) under Salmo trutta (river trout). RNAcentral's name for it is "lncRNA (ENSSTUG00000047587.1)". The record is from RNAcentral. Lineage: Eukaryota; Metazoa; Chordata; Actinopteri; Salmoniformes; Salmonidae.
GCCAUUUUGACUUUGUGAUUGUAGUAAAUAGUGAAAUCUCCGUGGAGAAACAACGUAUCCCAGAAUUCCCAAAAGCACCAUAGACUGAAAUUACACGUAUUUUGAACAGGCAAGAAUUUGAUAUAGUUUGGAACGUUAUCUACCUAAAAAUAACCAACAUGAAUCUAUAUUUAACUUAAGCUGGAUAUUGAGUAGCUCGCUAGUUGAACAUGGACAAAGAUGUUGUGCUUGCCAUUCAGCUGCAGGAGCAGUUUGACUUCGAGGCAUCCUCAUACACACCAACUGAUGAUAACUAUGGCCAAACCAGCCAAAAAUGUAUGCAGGUGUGUGUUCUUACGAAGGACGAGGUGGACUGUGUUAUAGUCGACUCAGUGAGCCUUUACUGA